Molecule: unclassified non-coding RNA, 299 nt
Organism: Cyprinus carpio (common carp)
Lineage: Eukaryota; Metazoa; Chordata; Actinopteri; Cypriniformes; Cyprinidae
Rfam family: Metazoan signal recognition particle RNA
About the family: The signal recognition particle (SRP) is a universally conserved ribonucleoprotein. It is involved in the co-translational targeting of proteins to membranes. The eukaryotic SRP consists of a 300-nucleotide 7S RNA and six proteins: SRPs 72, 68, 54, 19, 14, and 9.
Source: Ensembl
GCCGGGUGCAGUGGCGCGCGCCUGUAAUCCAAGCUGCUGGGAGGCUGAGGCUGGCGGAUCGCUUGAGUUCAGGGGUUCUGGGCUGCAGUGGACUAUGUCGAUCGGGUGUCCACGCUAAGUUCGGUAUCGAUAUGGUGCUCCUGGGGGAGCUCGGGACCACCAGGUCGUCUAAGGAGGGGUGAACCGGCCCAGGUCGGAGACGGAGCAGGUCAAAGCCCCCGUGCCGAUCAGUAGUGGGGUCGCGCCUGUGAAUAGACACUGCAGUGCAGCCUGAGCGAUACAGCGAGACUCAGACUUUU